This 253-nucleotide ribosomal RNA is filed under the name uncultured bacterium. RNAcentral's name for it is "partial 16S ribosomal RNA". It matches the Rfam family "Bacterial small subunit ribosomal RNA", at positions 524 to 776 of the family's 1533-position model. The record is from RNAcentral.
UACGUAGGGUGCUAACGUUGUUCGGAAUCACUGGGCAUAAAGAGCGUGUAGGCGGUCCGGUAAGUCCGCUGUGAAAGUCGGGGGCUCAACCCUCGAAUGCCGGUGGAUACUGUCGGGCUAGAGUGCGGAAGAGGCGAGUGGAAUUCCUGGUGUAGCGGUGAAAUGCGCAGAUAUCAGGAGGAACACCUAUUGCGAAGGCAGCUCGCUGGGACGUAACUGACGCUGAGACGCGAAAGCGUGGGGAGCAAACAGG